CCCUUAGAUGUUCUGGGCCGCACGCGUGCUACACUGAGUGGGUCAGCGGGUCAGGUUGCGCGAAAGUGUUUCCUAAUCUUGAAAUCCGCUCGUGAUGGGGAUUGACGGUUGCAAUUUUCCGUCAUGAACGAGGAAUACCUUGUAAGCGCGGGUCAUCAUCCCGCGCUGAAUACGUCCCUGCCCUUUGUACACACCGCCCGUCGCUCCUACCGAUUGAGUGGUCCGGUGAGGCUUUGGGAUCUGAGCGGAAAGAGCGUUUCGCUGUUUCUGCCCGGAAAACUCAGUCGAACCUUAUCAUUUAGAGGAAGGAGAAGUCGUAACA
RNAcentral lists this ribosomal RNA (322 nucleotides) under uncultured eukaryote. RNAcentral's name for it is "partial 18S ribosomal RNA". It matches the Rfam family "Eukaryotic small subunit ribosomal RNA", at positions 1470 to 1796 of the family's 1831-position model. The record is from RNAcentral.